Molecule: ribosomal RNA, 301 nt
Filed under: uncultured bacterium
Lineage: Bacteria
Description: partial 16S ribosomal RNA
Rfam family: Bacterial small subunit ribosomal RNA
Source: RNAcentral
CAGCAGCCGCGGGAAUACGGAGGGUGCAAGCGUUAAUCGGAAUUACUGGGCGUAAAGCGUGCGUAGGCGGUUUGUUAAGUCUGCUGUGAAAUCCCCGGGCUCAACCUGGGAAUGGCAGUGGAUACUGGCAAGCUAGAGUGUGUCAGAGGAUGGUGGAAUUCCCGGUGUAGCGGUGAAAUGCGUAGAGAUCGGGAGGAACAUCAGUGGCGAAGGCGGCCAUCUGGGACAACACUGACGCUGAGGCACGAAAGCGUGGGGAGCAAACAGGAUUAGAUACCCGUGUAGUCCCUGUCUCUUAUAC